GCACCUGUAGCUCAAAGGAAUCAGGCACCGAUCCCAUAUGUCGGAGGUGGUGGGUUCAAACCCCGCCAGGGCCA
This 74-nucleotide transfer RNA is filed under the name Otolemur garnettii (small-eared galago). It matches the Rfam family "tRNA". From Rfam's summary of the family: Transfer RNA (tRNA) molecules are approximately 80 nucleotides in length. Their secondary structure includes four short double-helical elements and three loops (D, anti-codon, and T loops). Further hydrogen bonds mediate the characteristic L-shaped molecular structure. tRNAs have two regions of fundamental functional importance: the anti-codon, which is responsible for specific mRNA codon recognition, and the 3' end, to which the tRNAs corresponding amino acid is attached (by aminoacyl-tRNA synthetases). tRNAs cope with the degeneracy of the genetic code in two manners: having more than one tRNA (with a specific anti-codon) for a particular amino acid; and 'wobble' base-pairing, i.e. permitting non-standard base-pairing at the 3rd anti-codon position. The record is from Rfam by way of RNAcentral. Lineage: Eukaryota; Metazoa; Chordata; Mammalia; Primates; Galagidae.